UCUACUAAAUUUUUUAACAUGAAAAAAACUUUUAAGCAGGUUCAACGUAAUGCCUUGUUCAGAACAUCCUAUUUCCAUCCGUAACUAAAACCGAAGGGCAAAUAAGAGACAGAGAAAGACAAGGAAGGAGGAGGAAGCGCUUUCAGAACCGCUGUUUAGUAAUAGAAGCGCUAAUUACCAAGACCCAGAAGCCAAAACGUGAUUCCGUGGUUGGACAAAUGGUGCUGUGUUUUCCCUCAACACCCAAGAAACUGGCCAUGACCAUAGCAGUCUCCCUCUCUGGCGCUGCCAUUUUAGCUGUUGGGAUGCACCUUUCUUAUGUCAAUGUUGAACCCCAGCGAGCUCGAACCAGAGAUCGCGAUGCUUUUGUCAUGGAGACAUUGAACAAGAAGUAUGGUUAUACUUCCCCAUAUGAGAAAUUGGCUCGCAAUGGUUCUUCUGUUGAGAGAUCACAGGAAUCCUCUAUGAGAGAGAAUUAUGCUCGGGCUCGCAAUGAUCUGGUCAAAGAGACUUUUAGUAACCUUGGAUUUAAAAAAUAGAAGAGAGAUUCUGAAAGCUUUGGUCUCAAUUCUUGCUCCUUUGAGUUCUUCUUUUUGUGAUUCCUAAAUCAACGAAGAAUAAAUGCUUAUUGCCAAUGCUAGCAGCAGGCACAUCUUCAAUGUUUAUAGCAGUGCAUGAGUUUCUGCAUUGUUUUUAGUUGCUCUCUUGUAUGAAAUUUCUCAUUUUUGGCUCCAAGUUUAUUAAUUUUUCUUUGUGAUCCUUGCCAAA
Molecule: long non-coding RNA, 768 nt
Organism: Glycine soja
Lineage: Eukaryota; Viridiplantae; Streptophyta; Magnoliopsida; Fabales; Fabaceae
Exons: 2
Source: RefSeq, a predicted model, not a curated record